GACGGGGGGUCCUAGCGUUGUUCGGAAUUAUUGGGCGUAAAGCGUGCGUAGGUGGCUAUGUAAGUCAGGCGUGAAAGCCCUGGGCUCAACCCAGGAAGUGCUUUUGAUACUGCAUAGCUUGAAUGUGGGAGAGGAUAGUGGAAUUCCAGGUGUAGUGGUGAAAUACGUAGAUAUCUGGAGGAACACCGGUGGCGAAGGCGGCUAUCUGGCCCAACACUGACACUCAGGUGCGACAGCGUGGGGAGCAAACAGG
RNAcentral lists this ribosomal RNA (253 nucleotides) under uncultured bacterium. Its description in RNAcentral is "partial 16S ribosomal RNA". It matches the Rfam family "Bacterial small subunit ribosomal RNA", at positions 524 to 776 of the family's 1533-position model. The record is from RNAcentral.